Molecule: transfer RNA, 73 nt
Filed under: Patescibacteria group bacterium
Lineage: Bacteria
Also listed under: 3 other names
Description: tRNA-Thr
Rfam family: tRNA
About the family: Transfer RNA (tRNA) molecules are approximately 80 nucleotides in length.
Source: RNAcentral
GCCGAAGUAGCUCAGUUGGUAGAGCAAUUGAUUCGUAAUCAAUAGGUCGCGAGUUCGACUCUCGCCUUCGGCU